Molecule: long non-coding RNA, 2011 nt
Filed under: Equus caballus (horse)
Lineage: Eukaryota; Metazoa; Chordata; Mammalia; Perissodactyla; Equidae
Description: lncRNA (ENSECAG00000046038.1)
Source: RNAcentral
ACAGGAGGAAGUUAAUGCACCAUCACUGCCUUCAAGCUGGUGGGCGCCACAAAACAUGGAAUCAGGUGGGCUCUAGAGGGGAGAGGGUUUCCCAGCUGACAGCCAUCGGGGAAGAGAGGAUUUCAGUCCCGAAACCGCAAGAACAGAAUUUGGCUAACAACCUAAGUGAGCUUGGAAGUGGAAUUUUCUCUCAAAGCCUCUAGUUUGUGUGAUGCUAAACAAAGGACCCAGUGGUGCUCACCUGGACUUAUGAACUAUAGAACUGUGAUGUGGAACUUGAGCCAGUUAUUUAACUUCCUCUCUCUCAUUGUCUUCCUCUGGAAAAGGGAGUGAGGAGUGUUUCGGGAAAGAUAAAUAAAGAGAAGUGGCUGAAGUGCAUGGGAUAUAUAAAGAAGUAAGAGAACAUGAGGGAAGAAAGAUAACUCCAGGCAGGUACCGUGAAAAAGACAGAAAAAAAGAUUGCUGAAACUUGCAGGGAAAUAUUUCAGUACCAAACACUGAAAGAAGAGUUGUUUUAUUCUUGAAAUUGAAGUAUCCAUAGCUAGUGCAUGAGAAGAGUUAUAAGAAUGUUUUUGGCAAGCUCUCUUGAAUCCAAAGCAAAUUGUAGGCCUCAGGGAUGAAUUUUGAUUAUGUACUGGAUUUCAAAGCUCCGGCUCACCUGUGGUUCUAUUCUAAAGAUGAAGAGCAGAGCAAAACUCCCAAAAGAACUUCUCUCUCAGUGCAUCUGAAGCAUUUUCUCCAGUUGCCCAGACAUCGCUUAGGGAUAAUUUGCAGAUUGAGGUACCGUUGUCAAGAAGUAGGGAUGACACUUCAACAAAAUGUAAAUGUUAUCAAAUGACACCAUUUAUACUUGCUGUGGAUUUGAGGUAUAUUUAAAGUAUAAAUAAAAAAUUUAACUAUGAGAUCUCCAAUGUUGACCCCAAGUGUCAAAAAAACCCCAAACAAUUACAACCCCAAAACAGAGAAUAAAUUUGUUCUAUUUCUUAAUCAACAUGUUAGGUCUCUUAACAGAAUGUAUAUGGGAGAAAAGUACUUCCAUUCUUCCAAGUACUGAAAGAGGUUCCUGUGCUGAAAGGCUUUUAUAUAUUCUAACUUUAACUUACGAUAUCUGUCAGGAAUAUGUUAUAAAUGUAUCACAAUAUGCAUACUAAAGGACUGAAGAAGCUGAAUGUCUCUGCAUAUUUUCAUAGAUAAUCAAAUUUGUUCUUUUCUCUUUUGGAAUUUUUCCAGGUCUGGAAUUUAAAAACAAAACAAAACAAAACUUCCAUCUGUAAAAGCAAAUUCAAUAGAGGUACUAAAAUGUACAAUAAUUGACUCAAAUUACUACUUCAAAGCUACUUUAUAGGCUUUCCUCAAGAUAGACACUAAGAGCUAAGCAUUCACUGAUUUUCCCUAUAGAAUCAUGCAACUCUUAUCAUCACUUUAUCAAUUUAUAAUGAUUUUCUGACAGUAAAAGGCAGAAAGGGAAUAGCACUACUCUACCCUAAUAAUAGUGUUCAGGGUCACUGAGAAAUUUUAAUGGUUAUAAACCAAAUUAUGGGAUUAAAGAGGUCAGAGGGAGCAAAUUGUUUUAUAUUCUGGUUUAUACUUCUCAUUUCAAGAACCUCAUGAAAUAAAAACUAUCUUUGAAGCAGUCAUAAAAUGUGAAAUUUAUCAGGCAAGGAAAUGAAAUUUUGUUUUUAAUUUACCUACUUCAAGGAAAAAAUUAUCCCUUCUCUAUGUUGCAUCUUCAGUAGACUAUCAUAAAAUUGAAACUGUUUUCCAUUAUAAUUUCCUCAUUUACUUUAUGAUUGAUUAUUCAUAUAUUUUUCUUUCCAUAUGUUAAAUGAAGCAUCUUUUAAAAUAAUGGAAAAUAUAUUUUGCCAUUAAUGUAUGCAAUACAUUUUGAACAUGAAAUCCAGUAAAUAAAACAAAAGCUUUCAAUUAAAUUACAUCUAAACUUUCAUUAAUUGUUCUUAAAUAUUCUAUUUAGUAACCUUGAUACUGGCUUAACACAAGGUUGACAUGCGAG